Molecule: long non-coding RNA, 3242 nt
Organism: Triticum dicoccoides
Lineage: Eukaryota; Viridiplantae; Streptophyta; Magnoliopsida; Poales; Poaceae
Exons: 10
Source: RefSeq, a predicted model, not a curated record
ACACCACCACCACGCGCAGGUUUGCGUUGGGGAUUGAUUCCUACCAGUGAAAUCUGGAAGGGAGCCGACCUACAGGGAGAGAGUUGGGAGAGCUAAUGAGUUGUUGAAGCCAGAUGAAAUUAUAGUGCAAAUUGACUCGAGGUCAAUUGCUGUGUCACCACUUCCUCACAACGUAAAGCUGGAAGAUGUUCAAUCUUUCUUUGGUCAGUAUGGCAAGGCUAACAUCGUAAGGCUUCCAAAACAUGUUUCUAACAAGGGGCAGUUCUCCGGCACAGCUUUGGUCGAAUUUUCGGAAGAAGUUGAAGCUAACAAUAUCAUGAAUAACAAACUUAGUUUUGCAGGAGCGGAUCUAGAAAUAAAAACAAAGAAGGAAUUUGAUGCUGAAAUGGAGGCUAAGAAAGAAGCUUAUGAGAAGUCGCACCCUAAUACACACCCUAAUAAGAAUGGUCAUGAUGAAGGAUACCCAAAAGGUCUGAUUCUGCCUUUAAGCUGAAGAAAAUUCUAGCUUAUGGUGACACAGAACAAAAUGGUGGGGACAAAGUUGAUAAUAGCGACAAUGCCAAGAAGGAAGGGGGUGGAAUCGGGGAAAGCUUGUGAAGAGAAGGCCCCUGAGAACACUGAUGCCAAGGAAGAGAAGUCAGAUGAUGCUGAGGAGUUGAAAGUGUCAGAUGCACAAGGGAGCGGGCUGCUCUCGGUGCUCGACUGGGAGCUCACCGACGAGGAGGAGUACCGCCACGCGCGCCCAGGUGCAGCGCAAGCGCGUGGAGGCGAAGGGGUACGCCGUCGAGGGGAUCUCGGUGAGCGGGCACGAGACCUGCAUCACCGUGUCGUCCCUCAACGUCGCAUUUGACAUCGGCCGCGGCCCGCUCUUCGCCAUGCGCUAGGACCACCUCUUCAUCAUGCACGCCACCUCAACCACAUCGUCCUUCUGUCAGUGUCUUCAAUUGCUUUGCUGAAUAGUGGGUGGUAGCGGCUUGAGUGAAGAUCUUCGUAUCAAGGUUUGUUUACUACCGCGGAUUGCUUAUAUCACCUUGUUCUGUAAUUGUCUGUUACUUGCUGUACACAUACUGACUAGGUGUUGUGUCUGUGUUGCUGUUUUCCAUUUGCCUUUGCUGGUUAACUUACUUUUCAAGGACUAUUUCUUCUGCUCAGGAUGUGCCCUACUAUAUCUUUUGUGAUUCCUAUUUUGGAGACCCUGGCGGCGCAUGUUCCUUUGCCUGCUCUUUUGUACGUGUGUGAGAUAGCCGACGACGGGGCUGUGCUUGCUGGUGUUGAGCUUGAGCUUCCUACGAAUAGUGUGUCCCUGCUUCCAGAUAGGACUUUGCUAAAAUUCCUGCAGGGGGGCUAUGGGUUUGUUAUCAGGGACUACGGUAGGGGUGCAGAGCGGCGUCCCGCAUAGACCCACCAAAGUGCUUAAUUAGUACAACUUUGCCUAACAGCAGCACAGCCUAAUUAGAACUAGCUUUUUCUAAUUUGUAUACGGAGCGGGACGGGUUCGGGCGCCGCCUUGCAUCCCUAGACUACGGGUUUCAAAGUGUUGGUUCAUACCAUUCAGGAGCAGUGCUGGUGCUAAGAACGCUGGCAAUGCAAAGAAAACAAGGCAGUAAUUCAUCUAUCGCCUAAGAUGACCAUGGAUGUACGGUAAGCCACAUUUUUCUUCCAUGCAUUCAGCUCAGUCUCUGCUUCCAUGGAAUUCAUGCUUUUCAAUUAAAUUAUCAGGGUGAUAAUGUAAACAGUCCAGCUGCUAUUGGCGCAACCAGGUCAUCUAGUAGGUAGAAUAGAUCAAAUCCCACGUACGCACCCCCGCACAUGAGCUCAUCCCAAUCCCACCACCGAUCCGCUUAUCCUGUCUGCCGUCACGCGGCCUUUCCCAUCCCCACAUCGACCCCUUGGUGAUGCCGUGACCACGCAAUUGCUACUCUUCGCCGCUCCAUCUCCCCGGGUAACAUCACACCGCCUACCCCAUCCUCCGCACCCAGGACAGAAGCACGCAAUCUCGACCGAUCCCCCGUUCUUCUCCGGCGGAGGCAGCAACGCGCAGCCGCGCUUCAGGCGACGUUGCGCCUCUCUCUGUCCAUCUCCAGCACGGCCACUCCGCUGCACUCAUCUCGGGCCGAGGAGAGCGAGCACAGUUGCAAUUGGAGUUGUGUCAGCGAUGUGCCUUUGCCCUCUCUAGGUUUUUCGUCGAGGAAGUCAUAUCAUGAAGUCGGGAAGAUCUCAUCCUUCCUUGCUUCCGCCCUACGCGGCAUCAUGCUGCAUGUCUGUCGUGUGCAGGUACAACUCCUCGGCAUGCAACCUGUUGAACAGUAUGUUUACCAUGCCUUUGGUAGAAGAUAGACUGUACUAUCGUCUUCAUUUGUCCCUCACUUGACAGAAGCUGACAUUUUUUCCAGCUCGUGCACUGAGAGAGGCUUUUGACUUAGCAAUUUUCUAGGUCUAUACAUGUAUAUUGCUUCGAGAGAUCUUGCAAAUGUGGAAGCUAAAACGAGGUAAACUAGAUUAUGUUCAUCCAGCAGAAGGGAUGCUCUUCAGUGGAAAAUUCUGAAACCUUGUCAAGCUUUGAUGUAUAGCUGGCAUAGUUUGUUAGUAAUCUCUAUGAACAUUGUACAAAUGGUGACAAAAAAGUUUUUUUAUAACCGUGGAAUCACGACGCAGAAUAUAUUAUUCACGUGUAUACCUUCAAUGUGGAUUAUAACAUGAUGUACCUUGUCAGGAACAUUUCUUCUCGAAGACUACUUUAUUUUCAUAUUCAUGCACACACUUCUCUGGGAUAUUGAAAUAUUUGCUUGUACCGUCUUUUUCUGGAGUCAUUGAAAUAUCCCCUUGCAUGGAAAUUUGAUUUCUACUGAAUUUUUGUCAAGAUAUUAGACUUCUUGUACUAAAGUUCACCAUGUUACUGUUGUACUACAAUUUUUCUUAUUGUACUGAAAUUUUGCAUUGUUAUACUAAAAUUUGCCUUUUUUUUACUCUGGUACUAACAUUUAACUAUUUUGUAGGAAGGAAUAGCUCAAGGGAGCAGAAGGAACAAGGAGAAACACUCAAGAGAAGUUAACUCAAAAUCCAAGAUUCGAUCUUCACAUAGCUCACAAAUCUUGAUUCAUGAUGGCAUUGGACCAGACACAUCCAGUUCUAUAAUAUCUAUAUAAGUAGAGUGUAUUUGAUUCCUAUGUUGUUCCUCUUUAGCUUGUUCGUUGGACUGGCUUGGUUUAAAUUAUAUAUGAUAUAAUUUAGUUUUAAUUUUA